UGAAUACGAGAUGCUACGGCGUCGAAGCAGUCUAUGUCAUACUUCCAAGAAAAGCUCGCACUGUCAUAAACAAAUAAUGCCUGUACCAUAACCGACACAGGUGGGUAGGUAGAGUAUACUAAGGGGCGCGAGAUAACUCUCUCUAAGGAACUCGGCAAAAUGACUCCGUAACUUCGGGAGAAGGAGUGCCUUAUUUAUAAGGUUGCAAUAACAAGAUCCAAGCAACUGUUUAUCAAAAACACAGGUCUCCGCUAAGUCGUAAGACGAUGUAUGGGGGCUGACGCCUGCCCAGUGCCAGAAGGUUAAAGAAGUUGGUUAGCAUUCGCGAAGCUGAUAACUGAAGCCCUGGUGAACGGCGGCCGUAACGAUAACGGUCCUAAGGUAGCGAAAUUCCUUGUCGGGUAAGUUCCGACCCGCACGAAAGGCGUAAUGAUUUGGAUACUGUCUCGGAGAGGGGCUCGGUGAAAUAUACUUGUCUGUGAAGAUGCGGACUACCUGCACCAGGACAGAAAGACCCUAUGAAGCUUUACUGUAACUUGAGAUUGAAAUUGGACUUUACUUGCGCAGUAUAGGUGGGAGGCGUUGAUAAUAUUCUUGCGGGAUUAUUUGAGCCAUCAGUGAGAUACCACUCUUGUAAUGUUAGAUUUCUAACUUUGUAUCAUUAUCUGGUCAAAGGACAGUUUCAGGCGGGCAGUUUGACUGGGGCGGUCGCCUCCUAAACGGUAACGGAGGCGCACAAAGGUUUCCUCUGAACGGGUAGAAAUCGUAUCUAGAGUGUAAAGGCAUAAGGAAGCUUGACUGUGAGACCUACAAGUCGAGCAGGGACGAAAGUCGGUCUUAGUGAUCUGACGGUGCUGAGUGGAAAGGCCGUCACUCAACGGAUAAAAGUUACUCUAGGAUAACAGGCUGAUCUCCCCCAAGAGUUCACAUCGACGGGGAGGUUUGGCACCUCGAUGUCGGCUCAUCGCAUCCUGGGGCGGUAGUACGUCCCAAGGGUUGGGCUGUUCGCCCAUGAAAGCGGUACGCGAGCUGGGUUCAGAACGUCGUGAGACAGUUCGGUCCAUAUCCGGUGUAGGCGUUAGAAUAUUGAGAGGAGCCUUCUUUAGUACGAGAGGACCGAGAAGGACAUACCUCUGGUGUACCAGUUAUCGUGCCAACGGUAAACGCUGGGUAGCUAUGUAUGGAGUGGAUAACCGCUGAAAGCAUCUAAGUGGGAAGCCCACCUCAAGAUAAGUAUUCCC
Molecule: ribosomal RNA, 1241 nt
Filed under: metagenome
Description: bacterial LSU rRNA
Rfam family: Bacterial large subunit ribosomal RNA
Source: RNAcentral